This is a long non-coding RNA of Girardinichthys multiradiatus, 303 nucleotides long. RefSeq lists it as uncharacterized. The record is from RefSeq and is a predicted model, not a curated record. Lineage: Eukaryota; Metazoa; Chordata; Actinopteri; Cyprinodontiformes; Goodeidae. The transcript has 3 exons.
GGUCUUACUGGGUGUUAGACAAAUGUUUUCUUGUGGCUCACUCCAAAAGCCCGCCACAUCGCUCGGUUAGCACUGCCCAUGUCAGUGGUGAUGUUUACCACAACAAGACCUAUGGAAGCUGCUCUCUCAAUGAUGUCUAGGAUGACUGGCUUGUAAUUAGCUCCAUUAGUGGAAUUGCCACUAAAAUGGAUCUUUUGGGAAGCCAUACAUAUGGAUUCCUUUCUCUGACCGAUUGGUGCAUCCAAAUGCAGCACACCCAACCAUGCAGAUGUGGUGACUGACUUCAAAAGGAGCUGCUGCCAA